Molecule: long non-coding RNA, 691 nt
Organism: Rosa rugosa (rugosa rose)
Lineage: Eukaryota; Viridiplantae; Streptophyta; Magnoliopsida; Rosales; Rosaceae
Exons: 2
Source: RefSeq, a predicted model, not a curated record
UUUCUCUCAAACCUUCAUACUUGUUUGAUUUCAAGUUUGGACGACUUGUUUGUUAGCUGUCUCUAGUUAGAGUGCAUGAUCAAAGUUUGUGUUUCCUUCUUUUGUGAGAUUUCAAAAAGCUAAGCUUUUUCAGCCUUUUCAUCUUCUUUUGUGGGUUCAAGUUUGGAUGACAUUCUUGGUUAGAAUUUAGAAAUCAUGAUCAAAGCUUCUUUUUGGCUAUCUUUUGUGAGCUUCCAAAGUUUUAGUUUUUUUCUUUGUAAUGCACUUCUUUUUGUCCCUCGUAUAUGAAAUGCACGUCGUUGAAGCUUUUGAUUAGGGGCCAUUAAUUCCACCCGUUGAUUUGCGCCCAGAUUUCUCCCAGAAUUUGAGGAAGAUUUAGUUAAAGCGAAUAUAGAGAAUGUUCUAGAUUCUGAUGGCGAACUUUGUGAUACUGUAGGAACUUCACGAGAUUACCUAGCGAAGGUUCUUUUCUGGUGUAUGUUAUUAGGUCACCAUUUGAGAGGCUUGGAGAACAGAUUACAUUUGAGUUGUGUUGUUGGAUUGUUGUAAAGAGAGGAAAGAUAGAACGGGUGUAUAUUCUUCAUGUUCAUCUAUAUGAACCUUUUUGGUAAUUUGGUUUUCAUGCUCAUCUGUAUUACUAUUCUUUUCUAUCAAAUGAAAAGCUUCUUAGGAGUACCACCUUAAUAAUCGA